AGGGUGUAAACGCUGCAGACUUGGUGUUGGAAGCCCUUUGGGGGGCGAUUCAGUGCCGGAGAGAAGUUGUUAAGUCUGCUACUUGGGGAGUACGUCCGCAAGGAUGAAACUUAAAGGAAUUGGCGGGGGAGCACCGCAACGGGAGGAGCGUGCGGUUUAAUUGGAUUCAACACCGUAAAACUCACCAGGGAAGACUGUUACAUGAAGGCCGAGAUGAAGACUCUGCUAGAUUUUUCAGAGAGGUGGUGCAUGGCGUCAGUGACU
RNAcentral lists this ribosomal RNA (264 nucleotides) under uncultured archaeon. RNAcentral's name for it is "partial 16S ribosomal RNA". It matches the Rfam family "Archaeal small subunit ribosomal RNA", at positions 748 to 1008 of the family's 1478-position model. The record is from RNAcentral.